AACGAACGCUGGCGGUAGGCUUAACACAUGCAAGUCGAACGGGUGUAGCAAUACAUCAGUGGCAGACGGGUGAGUAACACGUGGGAACCUUCCUAGGGGUACGGAACAACUCAGGGAAACUUGAGCUAAUACCGUAUACGUCUGUGAGGAGAAAGAUUUAUCGCCCUUAGACGGGCCCGCGUCGGAUUAGGUAGUUGGUGGGGUAACGGCCUACCAAGCCUACGAUCCGUAGCUGAUCUGAGAGGAUGAUCAGCCACACUGGGACUGAGACACGGCCCAGACUCUUACGGGAGGCAGCAGUGGGGAAUCUUGGACAAUGGGCGAAAGCCUGAUCCAGCCAUGCCGCGUGAGUGAAGAAGGCCUUAGGGUUGUAAAGCUCUUUUGCCAGGGACGAUAAUGACGGUACCUGGAGAAUAAGCCCCGGCAAACUUCGUGCCAGCCGCCGCAGUAA
This 451-nucleotide ribosomal RNA is filed under the name uncultured bacterium. Its description in RNAcentral is "partial 16S ribosomal RNA". It matches the Rfam family "Bacterial small subunit ribosomal RNA", at positions 29 to 523 of the family's 1533-position model. The record is from RNAcentral.